AGAAUCAACGCUGGCGGCGUGCCUAACACAUGCAAGUCGCACGAGAAAGGGACUUCGGUCCUGAGUACAGUGGCGCACGGGUGAGUAACACGUGAAUCAUCUACCUUCGAGUGGGGAAUAACUGAGAGAAAUCUUAGCUAAUACCGCAUAAUACCUACGGGUCAAAGCAGCAAUGCGCUUGAAGAGGAGUUCGCGGCAGAUUAGUUAGUUGGCGGGUAAUGGCCCACCAAGACGAUGAUCUGUA
RNAcentral lists this ribosomal RNA (244 nucleotides) under uncultured bacterium. RNAcentral describes it as "partial small subunit ribosomal RNA". It matches the Rfam family "Bacterial small subunit ribosomal RNA", at positions 26 to 285 of the family's 1533-position model. The record is from RNAcentral.